This 477-nucleotide ribosomal RNA is filed under the name Thalassiosira rotula. RNAcentral's name for it is "partial Bacterial large subunit ribosomal RNA". It matches the Rfam family "Bacterial large subunit ribosomal RNA", at positions 2435 to 2925 of the family's 2925-position model. The record is from RNAcentral. Lineage: Eukaryota; Bacillariophyta; Thalassiosirophyceae; Thalassiosirales; Thalassiosiraceae.
GGAAAGGCCGUCACUCAACGGAUAAAAGUUACUCUAAGGAUAACAGGCUGAUCUCCCCCAAGAGCUCACAUCGACGGGGGGGUUUGGCACCUCGAUGUCGGCUCGUCACAUCCUGGGGCUGGAGACGGUCCCAAGGGUUGGGCUGUUCGCCCAUUAAAGUGGUACGCGAGCUGGGUUCAGAACGUCGCGAGACAGUUUGGUCCCUAUCUGCCGUGGGCGUUGGAAAUUUGAAGGGGGCUGCUCCUAGUACGAGAGGACCGGAGUGGACGAACCGCUAGUGUACCUGUUGUGUGGUCGCAUGCAUCGCAGGGUAGCUAUGUUCGGAAGUGAUAAGCCGCUGAACGCAUCUAAGCGCGAAGCACGCUCCAAGAUAAGUAUUCCCUAUGAGCCUCCUGGAAGACGACCAGGUUGAUAGGCGGCAGGUGUACGCAUGGUAACAUGUUUAGCCGAGCCGUACUAAUUAGGCCAUUGGCUUUG